This 428-nucleotide ribosomal RNA is filed under the name uncultured bacterium. RNAcentral's name for it is "partial 16S ribosomal RNA". It matches the Rfam family "Bacterial small subunit ribosomal RNA", at positions 354 to 796 of the family's 1533-position model. The record is from RNAcentral.
GUGGGGAAUAUUGGGCAAUGGGGGAAACCCUGACCCAGCAACGCCGCGUGAAGGAAGAAGGCCUUCGGGUUGUAAACUUCUUUUACCAGGGAAGAAGAACGUGACGGUACCUGGAGAAAAAGCUACGGCUAACUACGUGCCAGCAGCCGCGGUAAUACGUAGGUGGCAAGCGUUGUCCGGAUUUACUGGGUGUAAAGGGCGUGUAGGCGGGACUGCAAGUCAGAUGUGAAAUGCCGGGGCUUAACCCCGGAGCUGCAUUUGAAACUGUAGUUCUUGAGUGAUGGAGAGGCAGGCGGAAUUCCUAGUGUAGCGGUGAAAUGCGUAGAUAUUAGGAGGAACACCAGUGGCGAAGGCGGCCUGCUGGACACUAACUGACGCUGAGGCGCGAAAGCGUGGGGAGCAAACAGGAUUAGAUACCCGUGUAGUCC